Molecule: non-coding RNA, 70 nt
Organism: Cajanus cajan (pigeon pea)
Lineage: Eukaryota; Viridiplantae; Streptophyta; Magnoliopsida; Fabales; Fabaceae
Source: Rfam
UUGAGCCGUACGAGAUGAAAUUCUCAUAUACGGUUCUUGGGGGGGGUUCCAUUGGUUUACCUAUCUCAAU